This 891-nucleotide unclassified non-coding RNA is filed under the name Hevea brasiliensis (rubber tree). Lineage: Eukaryota; Viridiplantae; Streptophyta; Magnoliopsida; Malpighiales; Euphorbiaceae. The record is from RNAcentral.
GGCAAAAGUUUAGUGCACUCAUGACCUUUUAUUUGACCGUUCCGACCCCCAACUUUUUAUUUUUGACCUAUUGCACCCUUCAACUUUUUAUUUUUAUAAUCAAUUAGCACAAUUUGCUCAACUCAAUAAUAAAUAAUGGGUAAAUUACUAUGAGGUCCCCGUAUCAUGUCAAAAUUCAUUAUUUGGUCCCUAAAAUUUUUAAUCCCAAUUAAAAUGUCCCUCUAUUUUGUAAAAUCAAACUAUUUAGUCCUUCCAUGAUAGAUUCCAUAGUGAGAGAUGAAAAGACCAAAAUACCCAUCUCCAUGUAACCGCUAGCAGUAUCUUCUCUCUCUGCUUCUCCACCACAAGUCCACCACCACUCUCUGAAACCCUAGGCCAACCCAUUGUCAUUCUCUUAUGCCCAUGCCCACAUAUCAAGCACAACAAAUGAACUAGGAAAUCCACCUGCACAAAUUCACAAAUCCAUCAUCAGUCAGAGGAAGUGGCAAGAAAUGGACAAAUCCACAAAUUCAUAGCCUCUGGAAAAUAUCCACAAAUUUACAGUUGAAGUAUUGGGCAAUAGGUUAGUAACCACAAAUUAACAGGAAGCUCUUGCAUGAAAUUGAACCAUAUCCAGUCUUAAUAAUUGCUGCAAGUAAUUCAUCGUCACUUUGUUACUGCAUUUCCUUCAAAAACAUAGGACAGGAAGCAAGCUACGAAUGCCGAUCUAGUCUUUGCUAAUGAUUCCUGGUGCUCCUUCAUCUUGACGUCGCCCAUGCAUUAGAGGAUGGAAAUGCGUACGUGAAAUGGGUUGUGGGUGCUGUGAGGAGGCAGUGGUGUGAUGGUGGUGUCCAGCUUGGCAGUAUGGAGAGCGCAAGACUGUGUGACAACUGGUUCUUCCUCACACGGCGG